AGCUGAAGGAACUAACUACCUGUGU
This 25-nucleotide non-coding RNA is filed under the name Cricetulus griseus (Chinese hamster). The record is from RNAcentral. Lineage: Eukaryota; Metazoa; Chordata; Mammalia; Rodentia; Cricetidae.